Molecule: transfer RNA, 73 nt
Filed under: Ixodes scapularis (black-legged tick)
Lineage: Eukaryota; Metazoa; Arthropoda; Arachnida; Ixodida; Ixodidae
Rfam family: tRNA
About the family: Transfer RNA (tRNA) molecules are approximately 80 nucleotides in length.
Source: Rfam by way of RNAcentral
CCCUGGUUAGCUCAGCUGGUAGUACGCUCCACUAGAAAUAGAGAGGUCCCGGGUUCAAUUCCCGGACCAGGCC